CGCUGGCGGCAGGCCUAACACAUGCAAGUCGAACGGUAACAGGAAGCAGCUUGCUGCUUUGCUGACGAGUGGCGGACGGGUGAGUAAUGUCUGGGAAACUGCCUGAUGGAGGGGGAUAACUACUGGAAACGGUAGCUAAUACCGCAUAACGUCGCAAGACCAAAGAGGGGGACCUUCGGGCCUCUUGCCAUCGGAUGUGCCCAGAUGGGAUUAGCUUGUUGGUGGGGUAACGGCUCACCAAGGCGACGAUCCCUAGCUGGUCUGAGAGGAUGACCAGCCACACUGGAACUGAGACACGGUCCAGACUCCUACGGGAGGCAGCAGUGGGGAAUAUUGCACAAUGGGCGCAAGCCUGAUGCAGCCAUGCCGCGUGUAUGAAGAAGGCCUUCGGGUUGUAAAGUACUUUCAGCGGGGAGGAAGGGAGUAAAGUUAAUACCUUUGCUCAUUGACGUUACCCGCAGAAGAAGCACCGGCUAACUCCGUGCCAGCAGCCGCGGUAAUACGGAGGGUGCAAGCGUUAAUCGGAAUUACUGGGCGUAAAGCGCACGCAGGCGGUUUGUUAAGUCAGAUGUGAAAUCCCCGGGCUCAACCUGGGAACUGCAUCUGAUACUGGCAAGCUUGAGUCUCGUAGAGGGGGGUAGAAUUCCAGGUGUAGCGGUGAAAUGCGUAGA
RNAcentral lists this ribosomal RNA (671 nucleotides) under uncultured bacterium. Its description in RNAcentral is "bacterial SSU rRNA". It matches the Rfam family "Bacterial small subunit ribosomal RNA", at positions 34 to 694 of the family's 1533-position model. The record is from RNAcentral.